GCGAAGGUGGAGGAAUUGGUAGACGCGCUAGCUUCAGGUGUUAGUGUCUUAACGGACGUGAGGGUUCAAGUUUCUCUCUUCGCACCA
RNAcentral lists this transfer RNA (87 nucleotides) under Sodalis praecaptivus. RNAcentral's name for it is "tRNA-Ser". It matches the Rfam family "tRNA". Rfam says of the family: Transfer RNA (tRNA) molecules are approximately 80 nucleotides in length. The record is from RNAcentral. Lineage: Bacteria; Pseudomonadati; Pseudomonadota; Gammaproteobacteria; Enterobacterales; Bruguierivoracaceae.